GUUGUAUGGUUAAGUGACUAAGCGUACACGGUGGAUGCCUUGGCAGUCAGAGGCGAUGAAAGACGUAGUAACUUGCGAUAAGCCCAGAUUAGGUAGUAACAACCAUUUGAGUCUGGGAUUUCUGAAUGGGGAAACCCACGUGCAUAAGCACGUAUCCUUACCUGAAUACAUAGGGUAAGGAGGCGAACCGGGGGAACUGAAACAUCUAAGUACCCCGAGGAAAAGAAAUCAACCGAGAUUCCGAAAGUAGCGGCGAGCGAAAUUGGACUAGCCCUUAAGCUUUACACGCGUUAGACGAACGGUCUGGAAAGUCCGACGAUACAGGGUGAUAGUCCCGUAGUUGACGACGUGUGUUCAGUGAAAUCGAGUAGGGCGGCGUGAGGGAAAGGCGAAAAGAACCCCUGUGAGGGGAGUGAAAUAGAACCUGAAACCGUGUACGUACAAGCAGUAGGAGCAGGCUUGUCCUGUGACUGCGUACCUUUUGUAUAAUGGGUCAGCGACUUAUAUUCAGUGGCAAGGUUAACCAUCUAGGGGAGCCGUAGGGAAACCGAGUCUUAACUGGGCGUUCAGUCUCUGGAUAUAGACCCGAAACCAGGUGAUCUAGCCAUGGGCAGGUUGAAGGUUGAGUAACAUCAACUGGAGGACCGAACCGACUAAUGUUGAAAAAUUAGCGGAUGACUUGUGGCUAGGGGUGAAAGGCCAAUCAAACCUGGAGAUAGCUGGUUCUCCCCGAAAGCUAUUUAGGUAGCGCCUCGGACGAAUACUACUGGGGGUAGAGCACUGUUAAGGCUAGGGGGUCAUCCCGACUUACCAACCCUUUGCAAACUCCGAAUACCAGUAAGUACUAUCCGGGAGACACACGGCGGGUGCUAACGUCCGUCGUGGAGAGGGAAACAACCCAGACCGCCAGCUAAGGUCCCAAAUUACUACUAAGUGGGAAACGAUGUGGGAAGGCUCAGACAGCCAGGAUGUUGGCUUAGAAGCAGCCAUCAUUUAAAGAAAGCGUAAUAGCUCACUGGUCGAGUCGGCCUGCGCGGAAGAUGUAACGGGGCUAAGUAGUAAACCGAAGCUGCGGCAAUGUGCUUUUGCACAUUGGGUAGGGGAGCGUUCUGUAAGCGGUUGAAGGUGUGUGGUAACGCAUGCUGGACGUAUCAGAAGUGCGAAUGCUGACAUGAGUAACGAUAAAGGGGGUGAACAUCCUCCUCGCCGGAAGACCAAUGUUUCCUGUCCAACGUUAAUCGGGGCAGGGUAAGUCGACCCCUAAGGCGAGGCCGAAAGGCGUAGUCGAUGGGAAACGGGUUAAUAUUCCCGUACUUCUUACAAUUGCGAUGGGGGGACGGAGAAGGCUAGGUGGGCCUGGCGACGGUUGUCCAGGUUCAAGUGCGUAGGCUUAAGAGUUAGGUAAAUCCGGCUCUUUUUAAGGCUGAGACACGACGUCGAGCACCUACGGGUGUGAAGUCAUUGAUGCCAUGCUUCCAGGAAAAGCCUCUAAGCUUCAGAUUGUAAGGAAUCGUACCCCAAACCGACACAGGUGGUCGGGUAGAGAAUACCAAGGC
Molecule: ribosomal RNA, 1556 nt
Filed under: Vibrio parahaemolyticus
Lineage: Bacteria; Pseudomonadati; Pseudomonadota; Gammaproteobacteria; Vibrionales; Vibrionaceae
Description: partial 23S ribosomal RNA
Rfam family: Bacterial large subunit ribosomal RNA
Source: RNAcentral